Small nuclear RNA from Phodopus roborovskii (desert hamster), 104 nucleotides. The record is from RefSeq and is a predicted model, not a curated record. Lineage: Eukaryota; Metazoa; Chordata; Mammalia; Rodentia; Cricetidae.
GUGCUCACUCUCGCAGCACAUCUACUGACAGCAGAGCAAUACCGAAAUCAGCAUGGCCCCUGUGCUAGGAUGAUGCGGAGAUUCAUGAGGUUCCUAUAUUUUUU